Molecule: ribosomal RNA, 253 nt
Filed under: uncultured prokaryote
Description: partial 16S ribosomal RNA
Rfam family: Bacterial small subunit ribosomal RNA
Source: RNAcentral
UACGUAGGCAGCAAGCGUUGUUCGGAAUUACUGGGCGUAAAGCGUGCGUAGGCGGUGCCUCAAGUUUGGUGUGAAAUCUCCCGGCUCAACCGGGAGGGUGCGCCGAAAACUGAGGUGCUCGAGUGUGGGAGAGGUAGGCGGAAUUCCUGGUGUAGCGGUGAAAUGCGUAGAUAUAGGAAGGAACACCAGUGGCGAAGGCGACUACCUGGACUGAUACUGACACUGAGGUGCGAAAGCGUGGGGAGCAAACAGG